UAUAGAUCAAUCAUCUUCAAUUUAUGGGGCCCGUAUAGUUUGGGUCUAAACAUUAUCAUAGACCCAUAUGUAAAUAUAAAUGAAAUCCUGAAUCGAAUUUUUAUAAGAUAUCAAAUAGAUACGCCUUCGAGUUAGAAGUUCCUAAGUUAUAACAAACAAACAAAAAAACUAUCUAUUUGAUCUCUGAAUGUCGCCAUGCUCUAAAUGCACAGAAAUACUACAUACUAAUUUCUAAUCACAUAGAAUCAAGCUAGAUUAUCAGUUUUUAAUAUUCACAUUCAGAUGAUUAUCCAUAUUACAUGCUGCGUGUUUUAGCUGAAAAUUUUACAUCAAAAAAGUUAUUGCAUUAUUACAGAAAACAAUGGAAAGUGGCUAAUUCGGAAAAUUACAAAGAACAAAUUGCGACAUGGGCAAACAUGAUCAAAGUACACACAUAUACAUAAAGAAAGAAAGAAAAAGAUUACAAGAAAAAAAAAAUGAACAAUAUUCUGAAGAUUAAAAUAUAUUUGGAAAAAAAGAGAGAGGAAAAUGCCAAAAUCAAAUUUACGAGAGCAAAUAUAAGAACAAAACUGAAAAGGACAAAAAAAUGCCUCAGGUUUCAGUGCAAAACACAGAUAUAGCAACGAGAGGGCCCAUCCACAUAAUUGAGCGACUUACCAUUAUUAAAAUAUUUUACAUAUACUUAAGGAAAUAAAUACAAAUCUCAUCGAGUUCUUUUAUAAUAAUUAUUAAACUUGAAUUUGAUAUGCCGGUUACUUAUUCUCACUAUUAUAUACAUAAAUAUUAUUUAAAUAUUUAUUAAUUAAUAUUUUAAAUAUUUAUCUUUUUAAAAUAUUUUUAUAAAUAAAAUAAUUAAAUAGUUU
RNAcentral lists this long non-coding RNA (863 nucleotides) under Brassica rapa (field mustard). Its description in RNAcentral is "long non-coding RNA (BRAP_LNC000703)". The record is from RNAcentral. Lineage: Eukaryota; Viridiplantae; Streptophyta; Magnoliopsida; Brassicales; Brassicaceae.